This 465-nucleotide ribosomal RNA is filed under the name uncultured bacterium. RNAcentral's name for it is "partial 16S ribosomal RNA". It matches the Rfam family "Bacterial small subunit ribosomal RNA", at positions 28 to 507 of the family's 1533-position model. The record is from RNAcentral.
GAUGAACGCUGGCGGCGUGCUUAACACAUGCAAGUCGAACGGAAAGGCCCAAGCUUGCUUGGGUACUCGAGUGGCGAACGGGUGAGUAACACGUGGGUGAUCUGCCCUGCACUUCGGGAUAAGCCUGGGAAACUGGGUCUAAUACCGGAUAGGGCCACAUUUUGGAUGGUGUGGUGGAAAGUUUUUCGGUGUGGGAUGAGCUCGCGGCCUAUCAGCUUGUUGGUGGGGUAAUGGCCUACCAAGGCGUCGACGGGUAGCCGGCCUGAGAGGGUGUACGGCCACAUUGGGACUGAGAUACGGCCCAGACUCCUACGGGAGGCAGCAGUGGGAAUAUUGCACAAUGGGCGCAAGCCUGAUGCAGCGACGCCGCGUGGGGGAUGACGGCCUUCGGGUUGUAAACUCCUUUCGCUAGGGACGAAGCGUUAUGUGACGGUACCUGGAGAAGAAGCACCGGCUAACUACGUG